This 430-nucleotide ribosomal RNA is filed under the name uncultured low G+C Gram-positive bacterium. RNAcentral's name for it is "bacterial SSU rRNA". It matches the Rfam family "Bacterial small subunit ribosomal RNA", at positions 1 to 421 of the family's 1533-position model. Lineage: Bacteria; Bacillati; Bacillota. The record is from RNAcentral.
UGGCAUUAGAGUUUGAUCCUGGCUCAGGACGAACGCUGGCGGCGUGCCUAAUACAUGCAAGUCGGGCGGACGAUUAAAAGCUUGCUUUUGAUCGUCAGCGGCGAACGGGUGAGUAACACGUGGGCAACCUGCCUGUAAGACCGGGAUAACUUGCGGAAACGUGAGCUAAUACCGGAUAAUCUCCUUUUUCGCAUGAAGAAGGACUGAAAGACGGCGCAAGCUGUCACUUACAGAUGGGCCCGCGGCGCAUUAGCUGGUUGGUGAGGUAACGGCUCACCAAGGCGACGAUGCGUAGCCGACCUGAGAGGGUGAUCGGCCACACUGGGACUGAGACACGGCCCAGACUCCUACGGGAGGCAGCAGUAGGGAAUCUUCCGCAAUGGACGCAAGUCUGACGGAGCAACGCCGCGUGAGCGAUGAAGGCCUUCGG